This 359-nucleotide ribosomal RNA is filed under the name uncultured bacterium. RNAcentral's name for it is "bacterial SSU rRNA". It matches the Rfam family "Bacterial small subunit ribosomal RNA", at positions 29 to 387 of the family's 1533-position model. The record is from RNAcentral.
AUUGAACGCUGGCGGCAUGCCUUACACAUGCAAGUCGAACGACGUUUACGGGGGCAACUCUGUAGCGAGUGGCGAACGGGUGAGUAAUGCAUCGGAACGUGCCCUCCUUGUGGGGGAGUAACCAGUCGAAAGAUUGGCUAAUACCGCAUGAGCUCGAGAGAGGAAAGCGGGGGAUCCGCAAGGACCUCGCGCGAGAGGAGCGGCCGAUGCCCGAUUAGCUAGUUGGGGGGUAAAAGCCCACCAAGGCGACGAUCGGUAGCUGGUCUGAGAGGACGACCAGCCACACUGGGACUGAGACACGGCCCAGACUCCUACGGGAGCAGCAGUGGGGAAUUUUGGACAAUGGGGGCAACCCUGAU